AAGAAUAAGAUAGGCUUCAUCAAUGGUGCUUGCCCCUGUUCUAACUGCUUGUUCCAAGGAUUUCUAGCCCUGGAGUAAAUGCAAUAAUAUGGUUACAUCUUGGUUUCUCAACUCAAUAUCCAAGGAUAUAGGGAAUAGUGUCAUAUACUCAAAAUCUGCUAAGGACCGCUGGACCAGUUUAGAAUAUAGAUUUGGUCAGUCAAAUGGAGCUAAACUUUAUCGCCUGAGGAAAGAAUUAUCAGGAUUAGUCCAAGGGACAAGUGACAUUUCAGGCUAAUUUACAAAAGUCAAAUGACUAUGGAAUGAGUUGGAUUCACUAAAUUGUGAUGUCAAAUGCUGUUAUUUUGUGUGUAUAAAGGAAACUAGAAAUUAGAAAAAUUACUAGAUGAUGAAAGACUCAUUCAAUUUCUUAUGGAUUUGAAUGACAGUUAUGCACAAGCAAGAGGAAACAUCCUAAUGAUGAAUCCUUUGCCGAGCAUCAAUCAUGCAUAGCGAGAAAGAAAUCUUUGCCAAUCCACUCAUUUGUCCUGAUUCCUCAUCUUUCAUGAUUACAGAGCAAAAUAAUUUUGCACAAAGAGGAGGAAAGCAUACUCAAAAAGGGAAUUCACUUUAUCCAAAGUUCGGAAAUAACUUGCAGAAAGGAAAAAAUAAUUCCAUUAAGAGGAAUUCAACUUUCAAAGGAAAGAAAAUCACGUUUAAUCCUAAUGUUUCUUGCAGUCAUUGCAAGAAAGUUGGAUAUGCUGUGAAUAUUGCUGCAGAAUAAUAAGAUUUCCAGAGAGUUUUGAGUUCACAAAGGGAAAUCCGAUGCAAGUUAGAGGAAAUGGAGCAUUUCAAAUGGAACAAACAGAACAUAGCAACACUAGUCAAAGUAAAGUGAUAAAUCAACACCUGUCACAAGAUCAAUUUUCUCAACUGGUACAACUGAUUAAGCAAGUUAAGGCUGCGGAAUCAGCAAAUUCAGGAGAAGAAAUCAAUGACAGUUGCUAGUACUAUUGCAAGAUAUUCUGGAAGUUGUUUCUCAGUUUUUAAUAAUAGUUCAUGGAUUAUUGAUUCUGGAGCCUCUGAGCAUAUGUAUUUUGACUCAAAUGCUUUCAUUUCUUUAACAGCCAUGUCAGUUCCCUUAAGUAUAAACUUGCCUACUUCUUUCAAAGUUACAGUUACUCAUAUAGGAAGGAUAUAUUUUACCCGAUUACUUUCUGAAAAAUGUAUUACAUAUGCCUAGUUUCAGAUACAAUUUAUAAUUUGUUAACAGGUUCUGUUUACAAUUUCAGUCACUCCUCCUUUUCACUUCUAAUCACUCUUUCUCGCUGGCCCCUUUAGUGAAGUGGGCACAAGUUUUUGGUGAAGCGAAGGAAAGGAUUUACCUUUUGGAGCCAAGUCAAGAUAGAAAUAGAAGAGAAGUAGAGACGAGUUCUUUUUCAAAUCAAAAUGUUUCUAGUCAAUUAUUAGUUUAUUUUCCUUUUUCAGCAAAUGUCGUUUCAGAAGUAAGCCUUUCACAUAUUAUAUUGGGGUAUUUGCCUUUUUUAUCAAUGAAACAUCUCAGUUUUAUCUCUUUACCUUCUAAGUCUGAUUGCUUCUGUGACAUCUGUCCUAAGGCUAGGCAAACUAGAAUUCCCUUUACUCUAAGUCAAAUUAAAACAAAAAAAGCCAUUUGAGUUAAUUCAUGUUGAUGUUUGGGGACCCUACAAAGUGGCUACUUAUAAUGAUUUCAAAUAUUUCUUGACUAUUGUGGAUGAUUACAAUAGAGGUGCUUGGACUUUUCUCAUGAGUACCACAAGCAAUGAUUUUUAUCUUCUUAAAAACUUCUUCACAAUGGUGGAAAGACAAUUUGGGAUAAAAAUGCAAAAACUGAGGGCUAACAAUGCAUUUGAACUUGGCAAGGGUUCUCUAGAGGCAGCCUUCCUUGCUUCACAAGAGAUAAUACACAAAACAUCAUGUGUGCCAACACCUCAACAAAAUGGGGUGGUUAGAGGAAGCAUAGACACCUUUUGGAAAUUGCAAGGGCUUUACUAUUUCAGUCUAAAUAUCCUCUGAUCUACUGGGAUGAGUGUGUGCUAACUGCUACAUAUUUGAUUAACAGGCUACCUUCUACGGUGCUCAAAGAAAACUCACCUUAUUUUGUGUUGUUGAAGCAUCAACCUUCCUAUAAUUCACUCAAAUAUUUUGGUUGUCUUUGCCAUGUGUCUACUUUGUCUACUGGGAGUGGAAAAUUUGAUCUAAGGGAGCCUUAUGUAUUUCUAGGAUAUCCUUUGGGGCAGAAAAGGAUAUAAGGUCAUCGAUUUAGAUACCAAAAGAGUGACAAUAUCUAGGGAUGUUUAAUUGUAUGAAGAUCAAUACCCUUUUGUUUCCACUAACCUUACUCCAGCCUCCAUCUUUCCUAUUCCCUCAACCACAUACUAUGGAUCUCUAUCAGACCAUAACCAAAAUAAUAAUGUCACACCUGUAGAUAACUCUCAAUCACCAUCUCAAUUCAUCAACCAUAGUACCUCUAACACACCUCAGUCAUGUUCUACUCCCUAUUCAAGAUCAUUUCCUCAUUCCCCUUCACUCAUAAAACUGCCAUAUAUAAGGAAAUCCACCAAACAAAAUAAUACAACUGCAUACCUACAAGAUUGUGUUUGCAACUCAGUAUUUCUUGCUAAUAUGACUAACUCUUGUUUGAUGGAACCAAUUCAACCUAAUGUGUUGCCCUUUACAGUCCUAUUAUUUGCCAAUCAAUCCCUAAUUAACUCCACUUCUUACCUCACAGUACCUACCUCCUACUCUCAAGCUAUGUUGCAUCCAGGAUGGUAAGAGGCUAUGGCUAAGGAAUUGGAAGCUCUUGAACUGAACAAAACUUGGGAGGUAGUCCCUUUACCUACUGGGAAGAAAGCCCUUCCCUGUAAGUGGGUCUACAUAGUGAAGUACAGGUUAGAAGGUUUUUUGGAAAGGUUUAAGACUCGUUUGGUUAUUAGGGGAGAUACACAGUGAGAAGAAAUAGACUUUACUGAGACCUUCUCUUCAGUUAUCAAUACGACAACAAUCAGAUGUCUACUUGAUACUGCAGUAAAGAAAGGGUGGCAAGUAUCAUAAUUAGAUGUAAACAAUGUCUUCCUACAUGGAGAUUUGUAGGGAGAGGUGUUCAUGAAAUUCCCAACAGGAAUGUCACCACCUUCACCCAACCAUGUUUUCCUUUUGAAAAAGUCUCUGUAUGGAUUGUGAUAAUCCACAAGAUAAUGGCAUGUUAGGCUCACUGUAGCUCCGAAUUUCAAAGGGUAUUCACAUUCCCUAAAUGACUAUUCUUUAUUUUUUUAAAAUCAGUAGAGAAAACCACUAUAGUUGUUGUCUACAUUGAUGAUAUACUAAUCACAGGGAAUGACUCUAAUGAGCAGGCAUAACUCAAAUCCAUUCUUAAUUUUGAGUUCAAAAUCAAGGAUCUAGGGGAUACACAUUAUUUUUAGGGUUUGAAAUUAUCAAAGAAAAAUAAGGAAUAAUUUUGACUCAAAAGCGUUAUACCUUAGACCUCUUGUCAGAGUUUGAUUGCAUGCAAAUCACACCAGCCUUUUCUCCUUUGGAUACCACUCAGAGGCUUCGACUAGAGCAAGGUACUUUGCUUUAAGACCCCACCCUUUACCGUUGAUUAUUGGAAAAAUUAAAUUUUCUCACUCAUACUCGACCGGACCUUUCCUUUGCUGUGCAGCACUUCAGCCAGUUCAUGCAAAUGCCUCGUCGGCCUCAUCUAGAUGUAGCGUAUCAUCACUGCCUCA
RNAcentral lists this long non-coding RNA (3746 nucleotides) under Nicotiana benthamiana. Its description in RNAcentral is "long non-coding RNA (NBEN_LNC007596)". Lineage: Eukaryota; Viridiplantae; Streptophyta; Magnoliopsida; Solanales; Solanaceae. The record is from RNAcentral.